RNAcentral lists this ribosomal RNA (482 nucleotides) under Actinomyces sp. 'ARUP UnID 83'. Its description in RNAcentral is "bacterial SSU rRNA". It matches the Rfam family "Bacterial small subunit ribosomal RNA", at positions 27 to 506 of the family's 1533-position model. Lineage: Bacteria; Bacillati; Actinomycetota; Actinomycetes; Actinomycetales; Actinomycetaceae. The record is from RNAcentral.
GGACGAACGCUGGCGGCGUGCUUAACACAUGCAAGUCGAACGCUGAAGCCCAGCUUGCUGGGUGGAUGAGUGGCGAACGGGUGAGUAACACGUGAGUAACCUGCCCCCUUCUUUGGGAUAACGCCCGGAAAUGGGUGCUAAUACUGGAUAUUCACUGAUCCUCGCAUGGGGGUUGGUGGAAAGGUUUUUUCUGGUGGGGGAUGGGCUCGCGGCCUAUCAGCUUGUUGGUGGGGUGAUGGCCUACCAAGGCUUUGACGGGUAGCCGGCCUGAGAGGGUGACCGGUCACAUUGGGACUGAGAUACGGCCCAGACUCCUACGGGAGGCAGCAGUGGGGAAUAUUGCACAAUGGGCGAAAGCCUGAUGCAGCGACGCCGCGUGAGGGAUGACGGCCUUCGGGUUGUAAACCUCUUUCGCUCAUGGUCAAGCCGCAGCUUUGGGUUGUGGUGAGGGUAGUGGGUAAAGAAGCGCCGGCUAACUACGU